AGGGGCCAGGCCAAAUGCUCAGUGAGUGUCUGCUCUGCAUCUGAGCCUUCUGCUGGACCCGUGA
Molecule: microRNA precursor, 64 nt
Organism: Chlorocebus sabaeus (green monkey)
Lineage: Eukaryota; Metazoa; Chordata; Mammalia; Primates; Cercopithecidae
Source: Ensembl